This 320-nucleotide unclassified non-coding RNA is filed under the name uncultured fungus. Its description in RNAcentral is "partial contains 5.8S rRNA and ITS2". The record is from RNAcentral. Lineage: Eukaryota; Fungi.
AACGCACCUUGCGCCCUCUGGUAUUCCGGGGGGCAUAUCUGUUUGAGAAUCAGUUUAACCCUCACAACUAGAUUAGAGCAAUCUAAGCUAGGAGUGGACUUGAGACAUCUCUUGCAAAAGAGUGUCUUUAAACUGAUACCCACCUUUUUAGUAGACUGACAAGUUUAAAGGCAAUAUGACUGGACAGUUUCUGUUCUUUAUUUGCCCGGUUGCUCGUUUAGAAAGCUAAUCUAGGAAGGGAGACAAAACCAAAACACGAAGAGCGUAAAAACUCUUUAAGACUUGGUCUCAAAUCAGAUAAGACUACCCGCUGAACUUAA